This 254-nucleotide long non-coding RNA is filed under the name Salvia miltiorrhiza (redroot sage). RNAcentral's name for it is "long non-coding RNA (SMIL_LNC001825)". The record is from RNAcentral. Lineage: Eukaryota; Viridiplantae; Streptophyta; Magnoliopsida; Lamiales; Lamiaceae.
UAAUAGGAAAAAAAAGCGGUAGUUGUUCAGAGAAAAAAAUGAGAAGACACUAAUAUGGUAAAAUAAUAGAAAGAAUAAAACAAAAAUAAAACUUGAUUAAAAAAAUAUAUAGAAAGAAUAAAACAACCAUAGGAAAUAAAUUAAAGUAAAAAUAUCGAAUGGUUCCACUUUCUACCAAUUGUAGGGGAUGCGAUUUUGCGUCCCUGUCUCCUCUCUCCUAAUCAUACAUACUCAACAUAUAACAUCUCUACGCC